UGCAUCUGCAGCCCAUGAGGAAGAGAACCUCCGGGGGCAGGGAGGUUCGACUCGAGCGAAGCGAGAGAACGUUGCGCCAGCAACGGCCCGCAGGGCGAGCCAGGAAGUGGCGAGUAAUCCUCUAUCACCGACCA
This 134-nucleotide small RNA is filed under the name Escherichia coli. RNAcentral's name for it is "RtT sRNA". It matches the Rfam family "RtT RNA". Rfam says of the family: This family represents a bacterial cis-regulatory element known as RtT RNA. The exact function of RtT is unknown although it is thought that it may be involved in changing the cellular response in relation to amino acid starvation. The record is from RNAcentral. Lineage: Bacteria; Pseudomonadati; Pseudomonadota; Gammaproteobacteria; Enterobacterales; Enterobacteriaceae.